Molecule: long non-coding RNA, 258 nt
Filed under: Callithrix jacchus (white-tufted-ear marmoset)
Lineage: Eukaryota; Metazoa; Chordata; Mammalia; Primates; Cebidae
Description: lncRNA (ENSCJAG00000074995.1)
Source: RNAcentral
AGGGCAAAGCUAAACUGCCCAUCAGUUGCCUGAAAGGAUCACAAAGGAUCAGUGGUCAGUAUGGUGAAGUGACUUCAUGAAGAGUCUCAAUCUGUUACCCAGGCUGAAGUGCAGUGGCACCAUCUUGGCUCACUGUAACAUCCACCUUCCAGGUUCAAGAGAUUCUCCUGCCUUAGCCUCCCAAGUAGCUGGCCAGGAUUUUCUAAGGGAAAUGGCAAAACACUGAAGGCUUGAAAAUAUUGAAGUAAUAUGAUGAGA